This is a small nuclear RNA of Cricetulus griseus (Chinese hamster), 124 nucleotides long. NCBI's taxonomy places the organism in Eukaryota, Metazoa, Chordata, Mammalia, Rodentia, Cricetidae. The record is from Ensembl.
GUGUUUUCUGAAAGGAGGAAAGGAUCAUAUUCCCCUUGAUGAGGAUGGAAGGGUACUUGGUCUAAAAGGAUGCGUAUAGUUAAGGCAGUAUGACCUACUUUGCGACAGCUAACCACCGUUUUUU